Long non-coding RNA from Helianthus annuus (common sunflower), 789 nucleotides. RefSeq lists it as uncharacterized. Lineage: Eukaryota; Viridiplantae; Streptophyta; Magnoliopsida; Asterales; Asteraceae. The record is from RefSeq and is a predicted model, not a curated record. The transcript is spliced from 3 exons.
ACACUGCCGAACGCUUGACAAAGGCCACUGCUCAUGAUAUACUCACAGCAGAGUCUGUCCUAUCAGGCGUCUACAACCUUUAUUCUACCGACAUCCAGGAUAAGUUCACUCCGGUGAUAGUAAGAAACCCCGACAACAGCAUUUCAGCACUGCCGAAAUGUUUGCAGUCUCUUGUGGGCAGCACUCAGACCCUCCUGCUUGAUUCAUGUACGUACUAUGAUCAUGGUUCUUUCGAAAGUUUUAACUGCAAGAAUGUUCUUCUAUACGGAGAUGGCGGUGGGUGCGUUGGUUCUUCCACACCUCAUUCGCUCUCUAAUAAAGACAAUGAGGUAGUGCCGAUACCGACACCAGUUAAGCACGUUGAAACGACCAUAAGGACUACUUAUACAAAUUCGGGUUCGGAUUCAGAAGAAAACGUUGACGAUGAUCCACGUGAAAGGCAGUCGACCGGUGAUGGGAUUGGGGAUGAUAGUGCCAUGCGUUAACUAAAGUUCGGUCCAUGUGUUAGCCAAUAAGACAAGGAGGCGUGCGAGAGCUACUGCGUUUUUUCCAUUUACGUUUCAUGUUUUUUAUUUUGGAAGACAUCUUUUCCCUUUUUUUUGGCACAAGAGUUAUGCCGACAGAACAAAUUACGAUCCAUGGUUUAAUAAAGUUUUAGCAUGCCUCUUUAUAUAGGUCUUUGACUUACGUAUAUGUGACGUGUGUGCAUUAUGAAAACCGAGACUAAAAAUGUGGAAAUAACUGCUCUUCUUUUCUUUUAUCAGAAGGUUUAUGCUUGAUACUUAACAA